AGCGAACGCUGACGGCAGGCCUAACACAUGCAAGUCGAACGAACUCUUCGGAGUUAGUGGCGGACGGGUGAGUAACACGUGGGAACGUGCCGUUUGGUUCGGAAUAACUCAGGGAAACUUGUGCUAAUACCGAAUGUGCCCUUCGGGGGAAAGAUUUAUCGCCAUUAGAGCGGCCCGCGUCUGAUUAGCUAGUUGGUGAGGUAACGGCUCACCAAGGCGACGAUCAGUAGCUGGUCUGAGAGGAUGACCAGCCACACUGGGACUGAGACACGGCCCAGACUCCUACGGGAGGCAGCAGUGGGGAAUCUUGCGCAAUGGGCGAAAGCCUGACGCAGCCAUGCCGCGUGAAUGAUGAAGGUCUUAGGAUUGUAAAAUUCUUUCACCGGGGACGAUAAUGACGGUACCCGGAGAAGAAGCCCCGGCUAACUUCGUG
RNAcentral lists this ribosomal RNA (433 nucleotides) under uncultured bacterium. RNAcentral's name for it is "partial 16S ribosomal RNA". It matches the Rfam family "Bacterial small subunit ribosomal RNA", at positions 29 to 507 of the family's 1533-position model. The record is from RNAcentral.